RNAcentral lists this unclassified non-coding RNA (327 nucleotides) under soil metagenome. RNAcentral describes it as "partial contains 5.8S ribosomal RNA, internal transcribed spacer 2, and large subunit ribosomal RNA". The stretch from base 1 to 120 matches the Rfam family "5.8S ribosomal RNA", at positions 35 to 154 of the family's 154-position model. The record is from RNAcentral.
GAUGAAGAACGUAGUGAAAUGCGAUAAGUAAUGUGAAUUGCAGAAUUCAGUGAAUCAUCGAAUCUUUGAACGCACAUUGCGCCCCUUGGUAUUCCGAGGGGCAUGCCUGUUCGAGCGUCAUUAUAACCCUCAAGCUCAGCUUGGUGUUGGGGCCUGCUGCACUGGCAGCCCUUAAAAUCAGUGGCGGCGCCAUCUGGCUCUAGCGUAGUAAUUCUUCUCGCUAUGGAGUCCUGGUGGAUGCUUGCCAUCAACCCCCAAUUUUUCUAUGGUUGACCUCGGAUCAGGUAGGGAUACCCGCUGAACUUAAGCAUAUCAAUAAGCGGAGGA